UCAAGAAUAAAAAAUUUUUAAAAAGACCCAAAAAAGCUAUUUCUUUAUUAACAGAACAAAGGAUCUCAAAAGAAACUGUAGAUGAACUCCAAGAGCAACUGUCUGGGCUAAAAGAGAGAUUGAGACAAAAAGAGGAAGGGAAACUUUGAAAGAGAUUACAAAUUGUCAUCCAUUCAGAUUGUGUUAGAUACAGAUGUUCCUGGGAUGAAAAGAACAUUAAGCUACCUCAUGUCCAUGGCUGGUGAGAUCUCAGAAAAUAUAGGAGCAGCAGGCACCUCAUAAAACAAAAGUUGCUGCAGCCUGGGAUACAAUGUCAGUCAAUUCUAUGAGCAAGAGUUGUGAUGAAACUGAGUGACUGCACAGGUGACACACCCAUGAAGCCAGCUUGCCUGGGAUAGGGCACAAGAUGAUGCCAUCCAAAUUUCUCACUUCAUAGUUGCUAAAGAGGAAAAUGAGGAUCUACAAGAACUUACUACAUAGUCUUAGAUCAUUCAAUACAGAAGAUUAUAACUUUCUAUAAAGAACUCAUUUUAAGUGCCCACUGGGCAGCUGGGAGCCCUUCCUGGUGCAGUGUCCCUCCAGUGCGUGGUCUUCAGAAAGUUGAUCAUGGUGCUCACUGUGAAGAAGAGAUGCUUAAAGGGAUGCUGUCCAUUGUUUGGAAGGUGAGCUUGGAACUGAUUGGCAUCACACUGAAAACUGGAAUGUAUAGUCACCUCAGGAACCCUAGGAAGUUAGUAGCGUGUUGUCCCUUUGUGUUGUCCCCUUUUUUUUUAAUGCACGAAUUCAGUUUGUUUUAAAAAGGUAUUUUAAAUCUGUGAGUAAAGAAUGACCCAUUCAACAGAUGGUACAGAGACAAAUGACUACCCCUUUAGGAAAAAAAAGUUGCCUCCCAUAAAAAAUAAAUUUCAGACAAGUUAGAUAUACA
This 925-nucleotide long non-coding RNA is filed under the name Vulpes vulpes (red fox). RNAcentral describes it as "lncRNA (ENSVVUG00000021179.1)". The record is from RNAcentral. Lineage: Eukaryota; Metazoa; Chordata; Mammalia; Carnivora; Canidae.